GACGAACGCUGGCGGCGUGCUUAACACAUGCAAGUCGAACGGAAAGGCCCUGCUUUUGUGGGGUGCUCGAGUGGCGAACGGGUGAGUAACACGUGAGUAACCUGCCCUUGACUUUGGGAUAACUUCAGGAAACUGGGGCUAAUACCGGAUAGGAGCUCCUGCUGCAUGGUGGGGGUUGGAAAGUUUCGGCGGUUGGGGAUGGACUCGCGGCUUAUCAGCUUGUUGGUGGGGUAGUGGCUUACCAAGGCUUUGACGGGUAGCCGGCCUGAGAGGGUGACCGGCCACAUUGGGACUGAGAUACGGCCCAGACUCCUACGGGAGGCAGCAGUGGGGAAUAUUGCACAAUGGGCGGAAGCCUGAUGCAGCAACGCCGCGUGCGGGAUGACGGCCUUCGGGUUGUAAACCGCUUUCGCCUGUGACGAAGCGUGAGUGACGGUAAUGGGUAAAGAAGCACCGGCUAACUACGUGCCAGCAGCCGCGGUGAUACGUAGGGUGCGAGCGUUGUCCGGAUUUACUGGGCGUAAAGGGCUCGUAGGUGGUUGAUCGCGUCGGAAGUGUAAUCUUGGGGCUUAACCCUGAGCGUGCUUUCGAUACGGGUUGACUUGAGGAAGGUAGGGGAGAAUGGAAUUCCUGGUGGAGCGGUGGAAUGCGCAGAUAUCAGGAGGAACACCAGUGGCGAAGGCGGUUCUCUGGGCCUUUCCUGACGCUGAGGAGCGAAAGCGUGGGGAGCGAACAGGCUUAGAUACCCUGGUAGUCCACGCUGUAAACGGUGGGUACUAGGUGUGGGGUCCAUUCCACGGGUUCCGUGCCGUAGCUAACGCUUUAAGUACCCCGCCUGGGGAGUACGGCCGCAAGGCUAAAACUCAAAGGAAUUGACGGGGCCCCGCACAAGCGGCGGAGCAUGCGGAUUAAUUCGAUGCAACGCGUAGAACCUUACCUGGGUUUGACAUGGAUCGGGAGUGCUCAGAGAUGGGUGUGCCUCUUUUGGGGUCGGUUCACAGGUGGUGCAUGGCUGUCGUCAGCUCGUGUCGUGAGAUGUUGGGUUAAGUCCCGCAACGAGCGCAACCCUUGUUCACUGUUGCCAGCACGUUAUGGUGGGGACUCAGUGGAGACCGCCGGGGUCAACUCGGAGGAAGGUGGGGAUGACGUCAAGUCAUCAUGCCCCUUAUGUCCAGGGCUUCACGCAUGCUACAAUGGCUGGUACAGAGAGUGGCGAGCCUGUGAGGGUGAGCGAAUCUCGGAAAGCCGGUCUCAGUUCGGAUUGGGGUCUGCAACUCGACCUCAUGAAGUCGGAGUCGCUAGUAAUCGCAGAUCAGCAACGCUGAGGUGAAUACGUUCCCGGGGCU
RNAcentral lists this ribosomal RNA (1346 nucleotides) under uncultured bacterium. Its description in RNAcentral is "partial 16S ribosomal RNA". It matches the Rfam family "Bacterial small subunit ribosomal RNA", at positions 28 to 1381 of the family's 1533-position model. The record is from RNAcentral.